AUGAAGAACACCAAGCUUGUGGCGAUCCUUCUCCUCCAUGCCAUCCUGGUCAUGGGAAUCCUUGCACACGUGAAUGCCAACUACUUCCCCAAGUGUUGUGACAAAUGUAGGUCGUUCUCGGGGGUUGACAUAUGUGACGACGCCCAUCCUCAGUGCCCCAAGGGCUGCUCCACAUGCCGCGCGGUGCAGACGGGCCGUGUCAAGACGUUCCGAUGUGCCGACAUGCGCUCCACCAUCAACGGCACGUGCGGCCCACGCUGCAAGAAGAACUGA
RNAcentral lists this ribosomal RNA (273 nucleotides) under Triticum aestivum (bread wheat). RNAcentral's name for it is "partial small subunit ribosomal RNA". The record is from RNAcentral. Lineage: Eukaryota; Viridiplantae; Streptophyta; Magnoliopsida; Poales; Poaceae.